RNAcentral lists this long non-coding RNA (212 nucleotides) under Panax ginseng (ginseng). Its description in RNAcentral is "long non-coding RNA (PGIN_LNC012945)". Lineage: Eukaryota; Viridiplantae; Streptophyta; Magnoliopsida; Apiales; Araliaceae. The record is from RNAcentral.
UUAUUUGUUAGUUGGUUAGUAUAUAGGGAUAUUAUGUGAUAUAUUGAUUUCCUUAAUUAACCCUUGUUUUAUGACAGUAUUUGAGAAUGUUGACUGAGAAUAUUAACAGUGGAAAUGAGACCGUGGAGAUGCCUGUACUUACCAACGAGGAGAACGUGCAACAGGCUGGCAAUGUACCUCAUGUGAACAACACCACUGAGCAGAUGAUGAAC